UGGGGAAUAUUGCACAAUGGGGGAAACCCUGAUGCAGCGACGCCGCGUGAACGAAGAAGGUAUUCGUAUCGUAAAGUUCUGUCCUAUGGGAAGAUAAUGACAGUACCAUAGAAGAAAGCUCCGGCUAAAUACGUGCCAGCAGCCGCGGUAAUACGUAUGGAGCGAGCGUUGUCCGGUAUUAUUGGGCGUAAAGGGUACGCAGGCGGUUUAAUAAGUCGAAUGUUAAAGAUCGGGGCUCAACCCCGCAAAGCAUUGGAAACUGAUAAACUUGAGUAGUGGAGAGGAAAGUGGAAUUCCUAGUGUAGUGGUGAAAUACGUAGAUAUUAGGAGGAAAACCAGGAGCGAAGGCGACUUUCUGGACACAAACUGACGCUGAGGUACGAAAGCGUGAGGAGCAAACAGG
This 403-nucleotide ribosomal RNA is filed under the name bacterium. RNAcentral describes it as "partial 16S ribosomal RNA". It matches the Rfam family "Bacterial small subunit ribosomal RNA", at positions 355 to 776 of the family's 1533-position model. The record is from RNAcentral.